AUCGAACGCUGGCGGCAGGCCUAACACAUGCAAGUCGAGCGGAUGAAGGGAGCUUGCUCCUGGAUUCAGCGGCGGACGGGUGAGUAAUGCCUAGGAAUCUGCUUGGUAGUGGGGGAUAACGUCCGGAAACGGGUGCUAAUACUGCAUACGUCCUGAGGGAGCAAGUGGGGGAUCUUCGGACCUCUCGCUAUCAUAUGAGCCUAGGUCGGAUUAGCUAGUUGGUUGGGUAAAGGCCUACUAAGGCGACGAUCCGUAACUGGUCUGAGAGGAUGAUCAGUCACACUGGAACUGAGACACGGUCCAGACUCCUACGGGAGGCAGCAGUGGGGAAUAUUGGACAAUGGGCGAAAGCCUGAUCCAGCCAUGCCGCGUGUGUGAAGAAGGUCUUCGGAUUGUAAAGCACUUUAAGUUGGGAGGAAGGGCAGUAAGUUAAUACCUUGCUGUUUUGACGUUACCAACAGAAUAAGCACCGGCUAACUUCGUG
This 484-nucleotide ribosomal RNA is filed under the name uncultured bacterium. RNAcentral describes it as "partial 16S ribosomal RNA". It matches the Rfam family "Bacterial small subunit ribosomal RNA", at positions 30 to 507 of the family's 1533-position model. The record is from RNAcentral.